Molecule: ribosomal RNA, 91 nt
Filed under: Azospirillum sp. OGB3
Lineage: Bacteria; Pseudomonadati; Pseudomonadota; Alphaproteobacteria; Rhodospirillales; Azospirillaceae
Description: partial 16S ribosomal RNA
Rfam family: Bacterial small subunit ribosomal RNA
Source: RNAcentral
GAACCUGAGAGUUUGAUCCUGGCUCAGAACGAACGCUGGCGGCAUGCCUAACACAUGCAAGUCGAACGAAGGCUUCGGCCUUAGUGGCGCA